Molecule: transfer RNA, 68 nt
Filed under: Bos taurus (domestic cattle)
Lineage: Eukaryota; Metazoa; Chordata; Mammalia; Artiodactyla; Bovidae
Also listed under: 1 other name
Rfam family: tRNA
About the family: Transfer RNA (tRNA) molecules are approximately 80 nucleotides in length. Their secondary structure includes four short double-helical elements and three loops (D, anti-codon, and T loops).
Source: Rfam by way of RNAcentral
CCUGUAUCUCAGUUGGUAAAGAAUCUGCCUAUAAUGCAGGAGACCUUGGUUCAAUUCCUGGGUCAGGA